GACAGGCUAUGUUUUCUGGCAAUGAACAUAGAAAGAAGUUUUGCUUGACAGAGAAGGUUUGGGAGCUGGUUUCUUCUUUAUCUACCUGGUACUUAUCAUGAAAGUAAAUAAUGGUUAUAGAAGGCACUCAUUCAUCACUCAGUCAUCUCUGUCAUAACUCAAUUGCUGCAACAGUGGUACCACUUCUACACAUGCUAUGAAAGAACCAGCAUAAUCACUCUUUAAAGUCAUUACAGAUUAAACAAAUAACAGUGAAGCACAUUUUGGUAAACGUUUAUUUUUCUUGCUCUAAACAUAGUAUGUCCUCACAUUUACUUUAAGUUCUGUCCUUGAAUUAAUUUCAUUUAUAAUAUAUUUUAAAAAUAAGAAAAAACUUGAUGUCCCUCAUUAAGAAAACUUUUGAUUUGUAUGCAUCUCAUGUUGUGUUUUUGUAAACUACCACUGAAAAAUCUUAAGAUAAUUGCUGUAUAAUGGGGUAAUUAAUUAAAAUAACA
Molecule: long non-coding RNA, 494 nt
Filed under: Homo sapiens (human)
Lineage: Eukaryota; Metazoa; Chordata; Mammalia; Primates; Hominidae
Description: non-protein coding lnc-POM121L12-1:1
Source: RNAcentral